RNAcentral lists this ribosomal RNA (899 nucleotides) under Hepatozoon canis. Its description in RNAcentral is "bacterial SSU rRNA". It matches the Rfam family "Eukaryotic small subunit ribosomal RNA", at positions 16 to 906 of the family's 1831-position model. Lineage: Eukaryota; Apicomplexa; Hepatozoidae. The record is from RNAcentral.
GCCAGUAGUCAUAUGCUUGUUUUAAAGAUUAAGCCAUACAUGUUUUAGUAUAAGCUUUAAUACGGCAAAACUGCAAAGGGUUCAUUAAAACAGUUAUGGUUUUAUUGAUAAUACAUUUACAUGUGUAACCCCGGUAAUUUUACAGCUAAUACAUAAGCAAAAUCUCAUCUUUAUUAGACGAGACGCAUUUAUUAGAUAAAAAUUCAAUGCAUGCUUUUACAGAAUGAAUGUUGUUCAUUUAUAAUGACUUGACAAAUCGCAAAUUGAUAACCCGCGAUAUAUCAUUCAAGUUUCUGACCUAUCAGCUUUCGACGGUAUGGUAUUGGCUUACCGUGGCAGUGACGGUUAACGGGGGAUUAGGGUUCGAUUCCGGAGAGGGAGCCUGAGAAACGGCUACCACAUCUAAGGAAGGCAGCAGGCGCGCAAAUUACCCAAUUCUAACAGUUUGAGAGAGGUAGUAACAAGAAAUAACAAUACAAGGCAAUUAAAAUGCUUUGUAAUUGGAAUGAUAGAAAUUUAAACCCUUUUUAAAGUAUCAAUUGGAGGGCAAGUCUGGUGCCAGCAGCCGCGGUAAUUCCAGCUCCAAUAGCGUAUAUUAAAAUUGUUGCAGUUAAAAAGCUCGUAGUUGAAGUUCUGCUAAAAGUAACCGGUCUGCUUUUAAUAAAAGUGGUAUCUUGGUGUGUAUUUAGCAAUGAUGUCCUUUGAAGUGUUUUUUACUUUAUUGUAAUAAAGCAUAUUCAGGACUUUUACUUUGAGAAAAUUAGAGUGUUUCUAGCAGGCCGACGCUUUGAAUACUGCAGCAUGGAAUAAUAAGAUAGGAUUUUAGUUCUACAUUAUUGGUUUUAAGAGCUAAAUUAAUGAUUGAUAGGGACAGUUGGGGGCAUUUGUAUUUAACUGUC